UACGUAGGGGGCGAGCGUUAUCCGGAAUUAUUGGGCGUAAAGAGCGUGUAGGCGGUCCGCUAAGUCGGAUGUGAAAUCCCAGGGCUCAACCCUGGAACUGCAUUCGAUACUGGCGGACUUGAGGAAGGUAGAGGAGAGUGGAAUUUCCGGUGUAGCGGUGGAAUGCGCAGAUAUCGGAAGGAACACCGAUGGCGAAGGCAGCUCUCUGGGCCUUUCCUGACGCUGAGACGCGAAAGCAUGGGUAGCAAACAGG
RNAcentral lists this unclassified non-coding RNA (253 nucleotides) under uncultured Nitriliruptoraceae bacterium. RNAcentral describes it as "contains 16S-23S intergenic spacer region". It matches the Rfam family "Bacterial small subunit ribosomal RNA", at positions 524 to 776 of the family's 1533-position model. Lineage: Bacteria; Bacillati; Actinomycetota; Nitriliruptoria; Nitriliruptorales; Nitriliruptoraceae. The record is from RNAcentral.